AUUGAACGCUGGCGGCAUGCCUUACACAUGCAAGUCGAACGGCAGCACGGGUGCUUGCACCUGGGGGCGAGUGGCGAACGGGUGAGUAAUACAUCGGAACAUGUCCUGUAGCGGGGGAUAGCCCGGCGAAAGCCGGAUUAAUACCGCAUAAGAUCUACGGAUGACAGCGGGGGACCUUCGGGGCUCGCGCUGUAGGGGUUGGCGAUGGCUGAUUAGCUCGUUGGUGGGGUAAAGGCCUACCAAGGCGACGCUCCGUAUCUGGUCUGGGAGGACGACCAGCCACACUAGGACUGAGACACGGCCCAGACUCCUACGGGAGGCAGCAGUGGGGAAUUUUGGACAAUGGGCGAAAGCCUGAUCCAGCAAUGCCGCGUGUGUGAAGAAGGCCUUCGGGUUGUAAAGCACUUUUGUCCGGAAAGAAAUCCUUGGCCCUAAUACGGUCGGGGGAUGACGGUACCGGAAGAAUAAGCACCGGCUAACUACGUG
Molecule: ribosomal RNA, 486 nt
Filed under: uncultured bacterium
Lineage: Bacteria
Description: partial 16S ribosomal RNA
Rfam family: Bacterial small subunit ribosomal RNA
Source: RNAcentral